Molecule: ribosomal RNA, 451 nt
Filed under: uncultured bacterium
Lineage: Bacteria
Description: partial 16S ribosomal RNA
Rfam family: Bacterial small subunit ribosomal RNA
Source: RNAcentral
GAUGAAUGCUGGCGGCGUGCCUAACACAUGCAAGUCGAGCGGCAGCGAGGGGUGCUUGCACCCUGUCGGCGAGCGGCGAACGGCUGAGUAACGCGUAGGAAUUUGCCCCAAAGUGAGGAAUAACUGCCCGAAAGGGUAGCUAAUGCCGCAUAUGGUCUUCGGAUUAAAGGAUUUAUCCGCUUUGGGAGAAGCCUGCAUUGGAUUAGGUUGUUGGUAGGGUAAUGGCCUACCAAGCCGACGAUCCAUAGCUGGUCUGAGAGGAUGAUCAGCCAGACUGGAACUGAGACACGGUCCAGACUCCUACGGGAGGCAGCAGUGAGGAAUCUUCCACAAUGGGCGAAAGCCUGAUGGAGCAACGCCGCGUGAAGGAUGAAGGCCUUCGGGUUGUAAACUUCUUUUAUGAGUGAAGAAUAUGACGGUAACUCAUGAAUAAGCACCGGCUAACUACGUG